RNAcentral lists this ribosomal RNA (551 nucleotides) under Sylvirana mortenseni. RNAcentral's name for it is "partial 16S ribosomal RNA". It matches the Rfam family "Bacterial large subunit ribosomal RNA", at positions 1817 to 2597 of the family's 2925-position model. Lineage: Eukaryota; Metazoa; Chordata; Amphibia; Anura; Ranidae. The record is from RNAcentral.
CGCCUCUUGAUUUCCAUAAGAGGUCCAGCCUGCCCAGUGACAAAGUUCAACGGCCGCGGUAACCUAACCGUGCAAAGGUAGCAUAAUCACUUGUUCUCUAAAUAGGGACUCGUAUCAAUGGCAUCACGAGGGCUUCACUGUCUCCUUUCUCUAAUCAGUGAAACUGAUCUCCCCGUGAAGAAGCGGGGAUUCUUCUAUAAGACGAGAAGACCCCAUGGAGCUUUAAGCAAUGCAUUUACUCUUUACAUGUUUUUAUCAAUUUAGUAAGAUAUCUAAAUACUAGCUUUAGGUUGGGGGGACCGCGGAGUAUAAAUUAACCUCCACGACAAAUGGGCUACGCCCUUAUCCACGAGCCACAACUCUAAGAAUCAAUAAACUGAUGUAUAAUGACCCAACAAUUUGAUCAACGAACCAAGUUACCCUGGGGAUAACAGCGCAAUCUACUUCAAGAGCCCCUAUCGACAAGUAGGUUUACGACCUCGAUGUUGGAUCAGGGUAUCCCAGUGGUGCAGCCGCUACUAAUGGUUCGUUUGUUCAACGAUUAAAACCCU